CCUACGGGUGGCAGCAGUGAGGAAUAUUGGGCAAUGGGCGCUAGCCUGAACCAGCAACGCAGCGUGAAGGAUGACUGCUUUCUGGUUUUAAACUUCUUUUAUUAUGGGAUUAAAUUGUACCCUUGUUCCUUUUUUGCUUUACUUUCUUGAUCAAGGUCGGCUAACUCCGUUGCAACAUACGCUGUAAUACGGAGGAUCCGGACGUUAUCCUGAUUUAUUGGGUUUAAAGGGGGCGUAGAUGGGGUUUUAAGUCAGGUGGGAAAGUUUGCGGCUCAACCGUAAAAUUGCAAUUGAUACUGGCAGCCUUGAGUACAGUUGAGGUAGGCGGAAUUCGUGGUGUAGCGGUGAAAUGCUUAGAUAUCACGAAGAACUCCGAUUGCGAAGGCAGCCUACUAAACUGUAACUGACACUGAUGCUCGAAAGUGUGGGUAUCAAACAGGAUUAGAUACCCGAGUAGUC
Molecule: ribosomal RNA, 459 nt
Filed under: uncultured bacterium
Lineage: Bacteria
Description: partial 16S ribosomal RNA
Rfam family: Bacterial small subunit ribosomal RNA
Source: RNAcentral